AUACGAAAGGUGCAAGCGUUGUUCGGAUUUACUGGGCGUAAAGAGAUCGUAGGUGGUUUGUUAAGUUGGAUGUGAAAUCCCGGGGCUCAACCUCGGAACUGCAUCCAAAACUGGCAGACUUGAGUUCGGGAGGGGUAAGCGGAAUUCCGUGUGUAGCAGUGAAAUGCGUAGAUAUACGGAGGAACACCUGAGGCGAAGGCGGCUUACUGGACCGAUACUGACACUGAGGAUCGAAAGCGUGGGUAGCAAACAGGAUUAGAUACCCCAGUAGUCC
Molecule: ribosomal RNA, 274 nt
Filed under: uncultured bacterium
Lineage: Bacteria
Description: partial 16S ribosomal RNA
Rfam family: Bacterial small subunit ribosomal RNA
Source: RNAcentral